Cebus imitator (Panamanian white-faced capuchin) is the source of this 182-nucleotide long non-coding RNA. RefSeq lists it as uncharacterized. Lineage: Eukaryota; Metazoa; Chordata; Mammalia; Primates; Cebidae. The record is from RefSeq and is a predicted model, not a curated record. The transcript has 3 exons.
GGAGGAGCCGUUUUUACGUUAGUUUGAGGGCCACACAGCUGUGGACCUGGGCAGGGCAAUUCCUUUUGUUGUUUGAGGGCCGCACUGCUGUGGACCUGGUCAGGAGCAGUUUUUUUUUGUUGUUUGAGGGCCGCACAUCUGUGGACCUGGGCAGGAGCAGUUCUUUUUGUUGUUUGAGGUUC